Molecule: long non-coding RNA, 1954 nt
Organism: Limulus polyphemus (Atlantic horseshoe crab)
Lineage: Eukaryota; Metazoa; Arthropoda; Merostomata; Xiphosura; Limulidae
Exons: 2
Source: RefSeq, a predicted model, not a curated record
UUUCAACAAGUUUUUCUGAGAUCUUCCAUUUACAGUUUCAUGGAAAGACCACAUGAUCCAUUAUCUGUAGAAAGAUCGGACAGUUCUCUUUGGACUUUCUGUGACCCCAGUGGUUGGACGGAGAGCUGGGAGGAGAAGGAACAGGUAAGAUGUUUCGAUCACUGGUGCAAUCUAUGAUGCUGUCUUGAUGUAGCCUAACAUCUGUGAUGCAGUCUUGAUGUAGCCUACAGUCCGUGAUGCAGUCUUGCUGUAGCCUACCAUCCGUGAUGCCAUCUUGAUGUAACCUACCAUCCGUGAUGCCAUCUUGGCAUAACCUACCAUCCGUGAUGCCAUCUUGGCAUAACCUACCAUCUGUGAUGCCAUCUUGGCAUUGCCUACCAUCAUUGAUGCAAUCUUGGCAUAGCCUACCAUCAUUGAUGCAAUCUUGGCAUAGCCUACCAUCUGUGAUGCUGUCUUGAUGUAGCCUAUCAUCUGUGAUGCUGUCUUGAUGUAGCCUACCAUCUGUGAUGCUGUCUUGAUAUAGCCUACCCUCCGUGAUGCUGUUUGAUGUAGCCUACCAUCAGUGAUGCAAUCUUGGCAUAGUCUACCAUCUGUGAUGCUGUCUUGAUGUAGCCUAUCAUCUGUGAUGCUGUCUUGAUGUAGUCUACCAUCUUUAAUGCCAUCUUGAUGUAGCCUACCAUCUUUAAUGCCAUCUUGAUGUAGCCUACCAUCUGCAAAGCUUCUUUGAACUAGUUUACAGUUUUGUUACAAGUUAUAGCUUUAACAGUAAAGAAGAAGUUUUACUUAAACAGGUUCCAACAUUUUAAUUGCUAGUGUGAUAUUUCUCAAGUACACAGAUCGUAAUAGUAAAGAAGGUUUUUUGUACUUAAAUCAACAUUAAACAAUAUAACAAUGAAAGAAUAGGUAUUUAAAUUAGAGGAAUGAUAGUUGUUACUUAUGCAUGUACAUAUCAAUACAUGUGAAAUGACAGUUCAUUAAUUUGCAGCUGAUAAAAAAAUCUGAUGAAUUUAAGUAAAUGGAAGAUAUUGUGCAAAAAAUUUAGGUAAUAUUAGGAAUGUCUGGUGAAAUAAUGAUCAAAAACAAAGUGUCAUGCCUAGGUGUUUGAUUUUAUUAAUAAGGCUUCUUUGAUUUUUCUUCUGUCAGGUUCUUGUUUUAGCAUGUCUACAUUCUGUUUGGAAAACUGUAGUUGUUUUUCUUCAUAUGCUCAUGAACAUGGGAAUGGAGUUUUUGAUGUUCUUUUAAUCUAAUGUUCAAAUUAUAUCCUGUUUCACCUAUGUAAAAAGCUGGGAUCAGUAUUUGAUUGAGUAAAUUUAGACUUAUCAUUCAAUUAAGAAAUCAUAAUACAGUUUUCUUUAUUGGAAUUUUGUAUGACAAUAUCUUUGUUGCUUCUAAGAAGUUUUAGGCCAUUCAUUUCAACCCGUGUCAAAUUUUUUCACUAACUUCAUCUAUGAGGUUUUUUAAUGGGCUGGUUUUUGGUUUAGUUUGGAAAUUAUUUACUGAGUCAUUUAUAUCUUUUUUGGAAUGUGAAGAUUUCCAGAGAUUCUUUGUUGUCCUGCAACAAACCUAGUAAGGCUUCAUGAGAUCUUUAACGUGGGAUGAGUUACUGUUGACUGGAUUUAUGAUUUGAAUGUACUAUUACUUUCCAGGAAAGGUCUUCAAAACUAGUUUUUAAAUCAGACACUGGGAUAGUGACAGGAGUUAAGACCUUUGUUUAGUACUAUGGUUUGAGGUUAACUGAGUUGAAUGUUCACAAGGUUGAUUAUAUUGUCUUUAUGUCAGCUUCUGUUCUUCUGGACUGUGCAGACAGACAGUUUUUUUUUUUGUCUGAAUUUCUUUUGGUGGUUAAGCUUUUCAAGUAGGUUUUUUUCUGUAUUAAUAAUGAAAGUAAGUUGUACUUUUCUACUGACCAAUACAUCAGAAAGUCAAACCCACAUAUUAGGUCUUUCUUUCACAU